UCGAGGGUGAAGUGAAGUCUCUGGCGAUGUUCCCUGGGCCCCGCUGCCUGACUUCCUGCCUCCCACUCUAGGCUUUCCACGGAGUGACAGAAGCCUCGGUCGAGCUCCUGCCUGGAGGCUGCUCCGCAUCCUCUAAAGGGAACAUGCCACUGGACCCAAGAAAGAAGAUAUCAUUUAGAUUGGAUUUCAUUAUGAUCAUCACCAAAAAGUACCUUCUAUGUGCAUCGAUUGGUAGCAUCCCAGUAUCCUUUAUGUGACCUAAAUUAAUAUGCCCUAAUGGUCUUGGGCAAAAUAAGGGAAGAGGAAAAAAACAGAUGGUUAUCACAGAGUUUACUACAAGGCACUCUGCUAUUCAGCUGAGCUGCUCUUCCUCGAAAUGGCUCUUUGUAUCUCCACUAGACUGACAGCUCUGAUGGAAGAUGUGUCUUGGCUGGAGGGGACGGUCUGCUGCUGGACAGGUCACUUGAUGGCUAUUCAGGUCUGUUACUCCCAGACCGGGACAGGCAAGUUGCUUAGCUACUAUGUCUUCUCUAAGUGUAGCGUCUCUGCUGGACCAAUUGGUCUGUGAGUCACCUGGUCCUGCUCUUCAAUGGGCACCUGCUGUACUUUUUUUUUCAUCUUUAGCCACUGGGUGGCCCAGGUGUAUUGCAUUGUCAUUAGCUGGAGUCUUAUUUUCCAUUAGACACUCAACUUAGAAAUGACAGUCUUUUCCUUGAAUCCCUUGGCUCAGCUCUUGAGAUGGUUAAUCACCAACAGUGAGAUGAGAAAAGGCUUCCCUCACCCUUCAAUUUUUCCUCCAUGUUGCCUUAAGAGUUUGACUUCAGUACUGACAUCUUCACCUCCCCUACUCCUUUGAGAAUCAUACACAUAAGAGAGACUAAGGACAAAGGUAUGAAUGUAUUCUAGAUCCUGUCCCACUAACCCCUUCAUAUAUAUUAAGUUAUUCAUGCCUGAGGGGAAGAAUGUCUAUUUUCCAUUUUAAGACUUUCUCUUUUGCCUUUUAGCUUCCCUUUAUUUUAGCAGUGGUAGACCUUCAGUUUUUGUUGAAAUUUCACAGGAAUACCCUCCUCACAUAAGCAAGGAACAACUCCAAAGAAGAACUGGAAUAAAAGAUGUCACUAAAGAACUAUAAAGAUGAGCUGGACACAUUGCAAGAGUAAGGAAUGACAGCUGAGUAGCCAGAGUGCUCCACUGAUAUGCUGGAGAUAUCAGGAGAAAGUAAAUAAACCCCUUGCACUUUGGGUGGACUCCCCUAUGGAAACUUUGCUAGAAAAAAAGGCAAAAGUAGUGCAGGAUGGGCUUUGUUGGAUAGAUUGUGCUCUACUCUGUUGGAAGGAAUUAUUGAAGGGACAAGAACUAUUGAAUGAACAAGUAGCAUUUGAGAAUUUGACAAGAAUAGAUUGAGGAAGGGACAGACAAGAUAGAUGGAGUUAUGAAGCUAUCAUAAUAGCCUGUGUUAGAGGUUAUAUUAUCCUUAACUAAAAUUAGUAGUAUAAAGGAAAGGUUGAUAUGAGAGAUAUCGGGAGAUAAAAAUCUUUAUGACAGGCAACUGAUUGAGCACAGGGGUGAAGAAGGAAAAGUCAAAGAUGACUUCAAGGUUUUAAAUCAGUGUCAUUGGGAUUGACAUAUCUAGAAUGGCAAGAAAAAUGAAGGUUUAUGAAUAUGUUAGACUUAAAUGACAUGUUGCUUAGUUUUGCUGAACUUACUAUGCCUCUAUUCUAAAUUAUUUUUUAUAACGGAUGACACUGAGAAGGAGUGUUGAAAAUGGUGGUAAUAUAAAAAGAAAAAAGAAAAUGUGUCAAUAAGACAUGUAAAAAGGGAAUGUUGGAGCUUUGGAUUUUCGUGGGGAGUGGGAAUAGGAUAUGAAUGAUCAGUUUACAUUUGUUCAUAUAGUAUUAGAGAUGCAAAACAUUCAACAAGUGUUAGAAAUGUGCUCAAGGGGAGAAAUUACAUUUGGAAUUAUAGAUGUUUCUGUUAUUGACAUAGAAAUGAUCAUUUAAAGACAAUACAGAAUGAUACAAAAUACAUAAAAUAAAAAAAUUAAUUCUUUAAGUAUUUUGUUAUUGUUGGGGGUAGAGUGGGAUGUGGCAAAGGAGCACUGGAAAUUCCGUAUAUAUUUCUCCCACUCCUAGACCUUUUGUUGGUUUAUAAGUUCUUGGAAGGGCAGCUAUUAUUUCAUUUUUAUCCUUACAUCUCUGACCUCUAACAUGACACCUUUCACUUAGUAGGUCCUAAAUAAAUAUUUGUUGACUUAAAUAUAUAUCCAUUUUCCCAUUCAUUUCCCAAAGCAAACAAAUUGGAGGGCUUAACUAAUGCCAUUCUGGGAGUGAGUCAGUAAGGUUAGCUUGAAUUCUCAUUUAGAAAUAAAUGUCGUAUAGAUAUUCUGGGCAAAGUCACUCUCAAGGACGAAAACCCUGGACCUCCAUAUUCCUAGUUUCAAUAACUAAUAUAAAACCCAAGGAGCUUCAAAAAUUCAAAUCACUCUGUGAACAAUUAAUGACCAGAAACUCCAAUUUCAUGUUAAUUGGUUUUAAUUAAAAAUGUUUUUUUUCCUCUCUCCUUAUCUACAAGGGCUUAUCAUCAGUAUGCUAGGAAUCUAAUCUUUAAAUUCCCUGCAUCACAUACUGUACCUUUGCAGCUGAAUAAUAAAGCAAAUCUCAGAACAGCACCUGAAUGGUCUAAUGGAGGGAGGUUGGAGGGAAGGAGAAGAAGGGAAUGAAAAUUAGACCCAGUGAUUGAUACCAAAAGAAAUAGGAAAGAAUGUCAUUUCAGGAAGUUAAAUAAAAUUAUAUUAGCCAGAGCUUCUUGUCCCCAAAACAUAAAGGGAAAGUUGAUUUUCUAACCAAUUCUGCUUGACUGAACCUCCCAAGGGACUCUCAUGUAGCUCCUAAUAUUGUAAAAUCAUCUUUUAGGUGAUUGGGGGCACAGAAGUUAGAGGAUAAUAAAUGAAGCAAAUUUUAUUAGUUUAUCAAAACCUGUAACUUCCCAUCCUACAAAGAAGAGAAAGAGAGAAGCAUCUGUUUCUGGUUCUGUCCAGCAAAAGAGAGACUGCGACUCAACAUUAAAGAAUGAGUGAAUUCUGUAGGCUUCAGCAAAAGAAAGGAAGUAAUUCUGCUAAAUAACAAGUCAGCAACUUGCAAGGAAUUUUUCCAAGAAGUGUGGCUGUCUUUGCCCAAAGUGACUGUGUGCUCCUGUUGUGUUCAUAACAAUUUCACAAGAAUUCUGUACUUUAAUAAAUGAAAGGUGAUAAUUAAUCCUUUCAAAUGGAAUGCUUUGCCACCACUUACAACUCUUUUCUGGGGGAAAAAAAUAAAUAAAAAACCUUUAUU
This is a non-coding RNA of Monodelphis domestica (gray short-tailed opossum), 3329 nucleotides long. The record is from RefSeq and is a predicted model, not a curated record. NCBI's taxonomy places the organism in Eukaryota, Metazoa, Chordata, Mammalia, Didelphimorphia, Didelphidae.